UACGUAGGGGGCAAGCGUUGUCCGGAAUUAUUGGGCGUAAAGAGCGCGUAGGCGGUCCGAUAAGUCGGCUGUGAAAGUCAGGGGCUCAACCCUUGGAAGCCGGCCGAUACUGUCGGACUAGAGUCCGGAAGAGGCGAGUGGAAUUCCCGGUGUAGCGGUGAAAUGCGCAGAUAUCGGGAGGAACACCCGUAGCGAAGGCGGCACUCUGGGCCGAUACUGACACUGAGGAGCGAAAGCGUGGGGAGCAAACAGG
This 253-nucleotide ribosomal RNA is filed under the name uncultured bacterium. Its description in RNAcentral is "partial 16S ribosomal RNA". It matches the Rfam family "Bacterial small subunit ribosomal RNA", at positions 524 to 776 of the family's 1533-position model. The record is from RNAcentral.